GGUCAAGCGAAAGUAGGGCGCACGGUGGAUGCCUUGGCACGGACAGGCGAAGAAGGGCGCGAUAAGCUGCGAUAAGCUUCGG
This 82-nucleotide ribosomal RNA is filed under the name Longimicrobium terrae. RNAcentral describes it as "Bacterial large subunit ribosomal RNA". It matches the Rfam family "Bacterial large subunit ribosomal RNA", at positions 1 to 81 of the family's 2925-position model. Lineage: Bacteria; Pseudomonadati; Gemmatimonadota; Longimicrobiia; Longimicrobiales; Longimicrobiaceae. The record is from Rfam by way of RNAcentral.